This 396-nucleotide ribosomal RNA is filed under the name uncultured Frankia sp. Its description in RNAcentral is "bacterial SSU rRNA". It matches the Rfam family "Bacterial small subunit ribosomal RNA", at positions 996 to 1397 of the family's 1533-position model. Lineage: Bacteria; Bacillati; Actinomycetota; Actinomycetes; Frankiales; Frankiaceae. The record is from RNAcentral.
CGUAGAGAUAGGGUCCGUGUAAGGGGUCUGCACAGGUGGUGCAUGGCUGUCGUCAGCUCGUGUCGUGAGAUGUUGGGUUAAGUCACGCAACGAGCGCAACCCUCGUUCUAUGUUGCCAGCGAGUAAUGUCGGGGACUCAUAGGAGACUGCCGGGGUCAACUCGGAGGAAGGUGGGGACGACGUCAAAUCAUCAUGCCCCUUAUGUCUUGGGCUUCACGCAUGCUACAAUGGCCGGUACAAUGGGUUGCGAUACUGUGAGGUGGAGCUAAUCCCAAAAAGCCGGUCUCAGUUCGGAUUGGGGUCUGCAACUCGACCCCAUGAAGUCGGAGUCGCUAGUAAUCGCAGAUCAGCAACGCUGCGGUGAAUACGUUCCCGGGUCUUGCACACACCGCCCGU